RNAcentral lists this ribosomal RNA (497 nucleotides) under uncultured bacterium. RNAcentral describes it as "partial 16S ribosomal RNA". It matches the Rfam family "Bacterial small subunit ribosomal RNA", at positions 28 to 507 of the family's 1533-position model. The record is from RNAcentral.
GAUGAACGCUGGCGGCGUGCCUAAUACAUGCAAGUCGAGCGAACAGACGAGGAGCUUGCUCCUCUGACGUUAGCGGCGGACGGGUGAGUAACACGUGGAUAACCUACCUAUAAGACUGGGAUAACUUCGGGAAACCGGAGCUAAUACCGGAUAAUAUAUUGAACCGCAUGGUUCAAUAGUGAAAGACGGUUUUGCUGUCACUUAUAGAUGGAUCCGCGCCGCAUUAGCUAGUUGGUAAGGUAACGGCUUACCAAGGCAACGAUGCGUAGCCGACCUGAGAGGGUGAUCGGCCACCAUGGAACUGAGACACGGUCCAGACUCCUACGGGAGGCAGCAGUAGGGAAUCUUCCGAAAAGGGCGAAAGCCUGACGGAGCAACGCCGCGUGAGUGAUGAAGGUCUUCGGAUCGUAAAACUCUGUUAUUAGGGAAGAACAAAUGUGUAAGUAACUAUGCACGUCUUGACGGUACCUAAUCAGAAAGCCACGGCUAACUACGUG